Molecule: ribosomal RNA, 200 nt
Filed under: uncultured bacterium
Lineage: Bacteria
Description: partial 16S ribosomal RNA
Rfam family: Bacterial small subunit ribosomal RNA
Source: RNAcentral
AAUGAACGCUGGCGGCAGGCCUAAAACAUGCAAGUCGAACGCUGUAGCAAUACAGAGUGGCGCACGGGUGAGUAACAUGUGGGAAUAUGCCUUUUGGUACGGAACAACUUUUGGAAACGAAAGCUAAUACCGUAUGGUCCCUUCGGGGUAAAGAUUUAUCGCCAAAAGAUUAGCUCGCAUUAGAUUAGCUAGUUGGUGUG